UGCCUGCUGGCUCAGUCUGUAGAGCAUGUGACUCUUGAUCUCAGGGUCAUGAGUUCAAGCCCCAUGUUGGGAG
Felis catus (domestic cat) is the source of this 73-nucleotide transfer RNA. It matches the Rfam family "tRNA". From Rfam's summary of the family: Transfer RNA (tRNA) molecules are approximately 80 nucleotides in length. NCBI's taxonomy places the organism in Eukaryota, Metazoa, Chordata, Mammalia, Carnivora, Felidae. The record is from Rfam.